Molecule: long non-coding RNA, 1115 nt
Filed under: Arabidopsis lyrata
Lineage: Eukaryota; Viridiplantae; Streptophyta; Magnoliopsida; Brassicales; Brassicaceae
Description: long non-coding RNA (ALYR_LNC001893)
Source: RNAcentral
UUCCUUUGGCUAAUUUGAGUGAUGGGUAUUGUUUAAUUUGUUUCGAUUGGACACUGAUUAGGGAAAUUUGUUAUCUUUUGGGGUUUUUGUAAUGAUAGCGGAAAAGGCAAUGCAGAAGUUGAACUAUAGUACUCUCAAUGGGAAGAUGAUUCGGAUUACUUACUCGUCUCGUGACUCUUCUGCUCGUAGAAGUGGUGUUGGGAAUUUGUUUGUAAAGGUAUAUUCUUUUGUUUGAAUUCUCUUCUUUAGCAGGUUUGAUUGUCUAAUUAUGUGUUUGUUUUCUAUAUGUGAAGAAUUUGGAUAAGUCAGUUGACAACAAAACUCUGCACGAGACGUUUUCCGGGUGUGGGACUAUUGUGUCCUGUAAGGUUGCUGCUGAUCAUAUGGGUCAGUCUAGAGGAUAUGGGUUUGUGCAGUUUGAUACUGAGGAUUCAGCUAAGAAUGCUAUUGAGAAGCUGAAUGGCAAAGUGUUGAAUGACAAACAGAUUUUUGUUGGACCUUUUCUUCGUAAGGAGGAAAGAGAGUCUGCUGCUGAUAAGAUGAAGUUUACCAAUGUUUAUGUGAAGAAUCUGUCGGAGGUGACUACUGAUGAUGAGUUGAAGACUACUUUUGGUCAGUAUGGUAGUAUUUCGAGCGCUGUGGUUAUGAGGGACGGAGAUGGGAAAUCCAGGUGUUUUGGAUUUGUCAACUUUGAGAAUCCUGAAGAUGCGGCUCGUGCUGUUGAAGCUCUCAACGGAAAGAAGUUUGAUGAUAAGGAGUGGUAUGUUGGUAAAGCUCAGAAGAAAUCUGAGAGGGAACUUGAGUUGAGCCGAAGAUAUGAACAAGGCUCAAGUGAUGCAGGAAACAAGUUUGAUGGGUUGAAUUUAUAUGUUAAAAACCUUGAUGAUACCGUUACCGAUGAGAAGUUGCGUGAGUUGUUUGCUGAAUUUGGUACAAUUACUUCUUGCAAGGUCAGCAUUGUUUGUUUUCCUUAUACAUAAUAACAUGAGCAAUGCAAAUUUUUUCUCUUGAUUGAUUGGAAACUCUUACCUUUUAACAAACAGGUUAUGCGUGACCCUAGUGGUACAAGCAAAGGAUCAGGAUUUGUUGCCUUCUCUGCUGCCAGUGAAGCUUCG